This 428-nucleotide ribosomal RNA is filed under the name uncultured bacterium. Its description in RNAcentral is "partial 16S ribosomal RNA". It matches the Rfam family "Bacterial small subunit ribosomal RNA", at positions 354 to 796 of the family's 1533-position model. The record is from RNAcentral.
GUGGGGAAUAUUGCACAAUGGGCGAAAGCCUGAUGCAGCAACGCCGCGUGAGGGAAGACGGUCUUCGGAUUGUAAACCUUUGUCCUUGGUGACGAAAAAAAUGACGGUAGCCGAGGAGGAAGCCACGGCUAACUACGUGCCAGCAGCCGCGGUAAUACGUAGGUGGCAAGCGUUGUCCGGAUUUACUGGGUGUAAAGGGAGCGCAGGCGGGGGAGCAAGUCAGCUGUGAAAUAUACGGGCUUAACUCGUAAACUGCAGUUGAAACUGUUCUUCUUGAGUGAAGUAGAGGUAGGCGGAAUUCCGAGUGUAGCGGUGAAAUGCGUAGAGAUUCGGAGGAACACCAGUGGCGAAGGCGGCCUACUGGGCCGUAACUGACGCUGAGGCGCGAAAGCGUGGGGAGCGAACAGGAUUAGAAACCCCGGUAGUCC